This 1086-nucleotide ribosomal RNA is filed under the name uncultured bacterium. RNAcentral describes it as "bacterial SSU rRNA". It matches the Rfam family "Bacterial small subunit ribosomal RNA", at positions 99 to 1174 of the family's 1533-position model. The record is from RNAcentral.
CGGACGGGUGAGUAAUACUUAGGAAUCUGCCUAUUAAUGGGGGACAACAUCUCGAAAGGGAUGCUAAUACCGCAUACGCCCUACGGGGGAAAGCAGGGGAUCACUUGUGACCUUGCGUUAAUAGAUGAGCCUAAGUCGGAUUAGCUAGUUGGUGGGGUAAAGGCCUACCAAGGCGACGAUCUGUAGCGGGUCUGAGAGGAUGAUCCGCCACACUGGGACUGAGACACGGCCCAGACUCCUACGGGAGGCAGCAGUGGGGAAUAUUGGACAAUGGGGGGAACCCUGAUCCAGCCAUGCCGCGUGUGUGAAGAAGGCCUUAUGGUUGUAAAGCACUUUAAGCGAGGAGGAGGCUCUCUUGGUUAAUACCCAAGAAGAGUGGACGUUACUCGCAGAAUAAGCACCGGCUAACUCUGUGCCAGCAGCCGCGGUAAUACAGAGGGUGCGAGCGUUAAUCGGAUUUACUGGGCGUAAAGCGUGCGUAGGCGGCUUUUUAAGUCGGAUGUGAAAUCCCCGAGCUUAACUUGGGAAUUGCAUUCGAUACUGGGAAGCUAGAGUAUGGGAGAGGAUGGUAGAAUUCCAGGUGUAGCGGUGAAAUGCGUAGAGAUCUGGAGGAAUACCGAUGGCGAAGGCAGCCAUCUGGCCUAAUACUGACGCUGAGGUACGAAAGCUGGGGAGCAAACAGGAUUAGAUACCCUGGUAGUCCAUGCCGUAAACGAUGUCUACUAGCCGUUGGGGCCUUUUGAGGCUUUAGUGGCGCAGCUAACGCGAUAAGUAGACCGCCUGGGAGUACGGUCGCAAGACUAAAACUCAAAUGAAUUGACGGGGGCCCGCACAAGCGGUGGAGCAUGUGGUUUAAUUCGAUGCAACGCGAAGAACCUUACCUGGUCUUGACAUAGUAAGAACUUUCCAGAGAUGGAUUGGUGCCUUCGGGAACUUACAUACAGGUGCUGCAUGGCUGUCGUCAGCUCGUGUCGUGAGAUGUUGGGUUAAGUCCCGCAACGAGCGCAACCUUUUCCUUAUUUGCCAGCACUUCGGGGGUUGGGGGGAAACCCUUUUUAAGGGGAUUUACCUGGCCCAGGUGGACCA